GGGAAGGUAACUCAGUGGUAGAGUGCUUGCCUUGCAUGCAUGAGGCCCUGGGUUCAAUUCCUCAGCACCA
Dipodomys ordii (Ord's kangaroo rat) is the source of this 70-nucleotide non-coding RNA. The record is from Rfam. Lineage: Eukaryota; Metazoa; Chordata; Mammalia; Rodentia; Heteromyidae.